This 496-nucleotide ribosomal RNA is filed under the name uncultured bacterium. Its description in RNAcentral is "partial 16S ribosomal RNA". It matches the Rfam family "Bacterial small subunit ribosomal RNA", at positions 28 to 506 of the family's 1533-position model. The record is from RNAcentral.
GAUGAACGCUGGCGGCGUGCCUAAUACAUGCAAGUCGAGCGAACGGACGAGAAGCUUGCUUCUCUGAUGUUAGCGGCGGACGGGUGAGUAACACGUGGAUAACCUACCUAUAAGACUGGGAUAACUUCGGGAAACCGGAGCUAAUACCGGAUGAUAUUUUGAACCGCAUGGUUCAAAAGUGAAAGACGGUCUUGCUGUCACUUAUAGAUGGAUCCGCGCUGCAUUAGCUAGUUGGUAAGGUAACGGCUUACCAAGGCAACGAUGCAUAGCCGACCUGAGAGGGUGAUCGGCCCCACUGAACCUGGACCACGUUCCGACCUCCUCCGGAAGGCAGCAGUAGGAAUUCUUCCGCAAUGGGCGAAACCCUGACGGAGCAACGCGGCGGGAGUGAUGAAGGUCUUCGGAUCGUAAAACUCUGUUAUUAGGGAAGAACAUAUGUGUAAGUACCUGUGCACAUCUUGACGGUACCUAAUCAGAAAGCCCCGGCUAACUACGU